UACAGAGGGGGCAAGCGUUGUUCGGAAUUACUGGGCGUAAAGGGCGCGUAGGCGGCCAUCUAAGUCAGACGUGAAAUCCCUCAGCUUAACUGGGGAACUGCGUCUGAGACUGGAUGGCUUGAGUGCAGGAGAGGAACGCGGAAUUCCAGGUGUAGCGGUGAAAUGCGUAGAUAUCUGGAGGAACACCGGUGGCGAAGGCGGCGUUCUGGACUGCUACUGACACUGAGGAACGAAAGCCAGGGGAGCAAACGGG
RNAcentral lists this ribosomal RNA (253 nucleotides) under uncultured bacterium. Its description in RNAcentral is "partial 16S ribosomal RNA". It matches the Rfam family "Bacterial small subunit ribosomal RNA", at positions 524 to 776 of the family's 1533-position model. The record is from RNAcentral.